UACGUAGGGUGCGAGCGUUGUCCGGAAUUAUUGGGCGUAAAGAGCUUGUAGGCGGUUUGUCGCGUCUGCUGUGAAAAUCCGGGGCUCAACCCCGGACUUGCAGUGGGUACGGGCAGACUAGAGUGUGGUAGGGGAGACUGGAAUUCCUGGUGUAGCGGUGGAAUGCGCAGAUAUGUGGAGGAACACCAAUGGCGAAGGCAGAUCUCUGGGCCACUACUGACGCUGAGGAGCGAAAGCGUGGGGAGCGAACAGG
This 253-nucleotide ribosomal RNA is filed under the name uncultured bacterium. RNAcentral's name for it is "partial 16S ribosomal RNA". It matches the Rfam family "Bacterial small subunit ribosomal RNA", at positions 524 to 776 of the family's 1533-position model. The record is from RNAcentral.